RNAcentral lists this transfer RNA (114 nucleotides) under Bradyrhizobium sp. LHD-71. Its description in RNAcentral is "tRNA-Lys". The record is from RNAcentral. Lineage: Bacteria; Pseudomonadati; Pseudomonadota; Alphaproteobacteria; Hyphomicrobiales; Nitrobacteraceae.
GGGCGGUUGGUGCGCUGUUGAAGAGGCAACCAGGACAUUCCCAAACAAUCCCAGUACUUGCUGAACUGCAGACCCUUAAUCAGCGAGUCGUGGGUUCGAGCCCUACAUCGCCCA